RNAcentral lists this long non-coding RNA (198 nucleotides) under Pan paniscus (pygmy chimpanzee). Its description in RNAcentral is "lncRNA (ENSPPAG00000045175.1)". The record is from RNAcentral. Lineage: Eukaryota; Metazoa; Chordata; Mammalia; Primates; Hominidae.
UGUUACUAAGGAAAAAUAUGUAAUGGGAAAACUAGUGCUAGCUGUUUGUUCUUAUGGAAAUUCAUUCAAGAUUUAAGAGAAGAGAAGGGAGAAGCAAUUAGCCAGUGAAAUGUGACCCUCUUGGAUCCUGGACUGACCCUUGCAGAUAAUCAUCGAGUGAGGACACUGUUAUAAAUGAUACUAGAGAGUGACCAGCAU